Molecule: unclassified non-coding RNA, 378 nt
Filed under: uncultured bacterium
Lineage: Bacteria
Description: contains 16S-23S intergenic spacer region
Source: RNAcentral
UCCGAGUUGACCCCGGCAGUCUCCUGCGAGUCCCCGCCAUUACGCGCUGGCAACACAGGACAAGGGUUGCGCUCGUUGCGGGACUUAACCCAACAUCUCACGACACGAGCUGACGACAGCCAUGCACCACCUGUGCACCUGCCCCGAAGGGCUGCCGUAUUUCUACGGCAUUCAGGUGCAUGUCAAGCCCUGGUAAGGUUCUUCGCGUUGCGUCGAAUUGAACCACAUGCUCCGCUGCUUGUGCAGGCCCCCGUCAAUUUCUUUGAGUUUUAGUCUUGUGACCGUACUCCCCAGGCGGAGUGCUUAACGCGUUAGCUUCGGCACCACGAGGGUCAAAGCCCGUGACACCUAGCACUCAUCGUUUACGGCGUGGACUAC